UUCGGGUCGCCGGCGAGUGGCAAACGGGUGAGUAACGCGUGGAUACCUGUCCUGUGGUGGGGAAUAACGUUUAGAAAUGAACGCUAAUACCGCAUAAGCCCUGCGGGGGAAAGAUUUAUCGCCAUAGGAGGGGUCUGCGUCGGAUUAGCUAGUUGGUGGGGUAACGGCCUACCAAGGCGACGAUCCGUAGCUGGUCUGAGAGGAUGAUCAGCCACACUGGGACUGAGACACGGCCCAGACUCCUACGGGAGGCAGCAGUGGGGAAUAUUGCGCAAUGGAGGAAACUCUGACGCAGCGACGCCGCGUGGGUGAAGAAGGCCUUAGGGUUGUAAAGCCCUUUCAGUGGGAAAGAUGAUGACGGUACCCACAGAAGAAGCCCCGGCUAACUCCGUGCCAGCAGCCGCGGUAAUACGGAGGGGGCCAGCGUUGUUCGGAAUUACUGGGCGUAAAGGGCGCGUAGGCGGUUGAUCAAG
Molecule: ribosomal RNA, 473 nt
Filed under: uncultured Magnetococcus sp.
Lineage: Bacteria; Pseudomonadati; Pseudomonadota; Magnetococcia; Magnetococcales; Magnetococcaceae
Description: bacterial SSU rRNA
Rfam family: Bacterial small subunit ribosomal RNA
Source: RNAcentral